CAAAAAAUUGGAACAUUUCCUUUGUUGAGGAUUCCAAUCGACCUAAUUCCACGCUUUUAUGCUUAGAGCGGCUACCUUCAAGCAUCAUUGUAAAUUGUUCUUCUCGAAGCAGCCUUCCAAUUCCAAUGACUUUGAUCAUCAAUAUCGGUACUUCCAUCCAGAUAACCAUGAGUUUUUCAUGGCUAUCGGAAAAUACGACUAUGUUAACGACAUCACUCCUGCCAAGGAAUCCUAGGACAUUGUUGUUCGAGUUGUUCGUUUAUGAUUUGUACCAGAUAUGAAUUCCAAACAAAAUUUCUAUGCAAUAGAAAUGGUUUUGAUGGAUGAACAGAAUGAAACUUGAAUGCACGCUUUUUGGAACUUUUGUUGAUAGCCUUGAUGCGUUCCUCCAAACUGGAUACACUAGAAAAGUUGUUGUGCUACCUGAAUAUCUAAAGAUCAAGAUGUAUAAUGGGAUAGUCCAAUUGCAGAAUGCAAUGAACUGUACGAAUCUAAUGUCAACCCAGAAAUCCCUGAGGCAAAUACUUCAAAAUCCAGUGAUAACAUUGGAUUAGAUAGAAAUACUCCAACAAGUCUUCCGCUCUGAGAAUUUUUUUGGCUACUGAACAUGUAAUGAUAAUAAACACACUGGUGUUGGUUCUGGCACGAUAUUGUUACAGUGUUUGCCAAAAAUUUAUUGGUUAUGUCAUGAUAUUGUUCCAGUAUUUGCCUGUUAUCUUUUCUCAGGCUUAAAUGCUGUUUUAGGUGGUUCAUUUAGCAUAAGUUGUGAUGUUAUAUCCGCCCUUAGUAACAUAAAUUUGUCUCUUUGAUAGCACUGUGUGCUUUGUUUCUUUAUAUAUAUGGCUUUUUAUUGGAAGUACUGUAAUUAGUAGCUUGAUAAUUAGUUGCAGGAUGUGGACAAGCAUGGAUAUAUAACAAAAGGUAUAAAUUGAAGGGUGUGAAAGUUUCAGACUGUUCUUGAUUUAGGUAUUUGUGGACUAUAAUUGAAUAAUCAUAUUGUUUGGCCUAAAUUUAAUAUUGUUAUGAUGUCAGA
Vicia villosa (hairy vetch) is the source of this 1033-nucleotide long non-coding RNA. RefSeq lists it as uncharacterized. The record is from RefSeq and is a predicted model, not a curated record. The transcript is spliced from 4 exons. Lineage: Eukaryota; Viridiplantae; Streptophyta; Magnoliopsida; Fabales; Fabaceae.